UAGGGAAUAUUGCGCAAUGGGGGAAACCCUGACGCAGCGACGCCGCGUGAGCGAUGAAGGCCUUAGGGUCGUAAAGCUCUGUCGUAUGGGAAUAAUUAAUGAAUGUACCAUGCAAGAAAGGACCGGCUAACUUCGUGCCAGCAGCCGCGGUAAGACGAGGGGUCCUAGCGUUGUUCGGAAUCAUUGGGCGUAAAGGGGGUGUAGGUGGCUUUAUAAGUCAGGCGUGAAAUUCCUAGGCUUAACUUAGGGAGUGCGUUUGAUACUGUAAAGCUUGAGUGCAGGAGAGGAUAGUGGAAUUCCUGGUGUAGUGGUGAAAUACGUAGAUAUCAGGAGGAACAUCGGUGGCGAAGGCGGCUAUCUGGCCUGACACUGACACUCAGACCCGAAAGCGUGGGGAUCAAACAGG
RNAcentral lists this ribosomal RNA (406 nucleotides) under uncultured bacterium. RNAcentral's name for it is "bacterial SSU rRNA". It matches the Rfam family "Bacterial small subunit ribosomal RNA", at positions 355 to 776 of the family's 1533-position model. The record is from RNAcentral.